GGGUUGUGAGGUUAAGCGACUAAGCGUACACGGUGGAUGCCCUGGCAGUCAGAGGCGAUGAAGGGCGUACUAAUCUGCGAUAAGCGCCGGUAAGGUGAUAUGAACCGUUAUAACCGGCGAUACCCGAAUGGGGAAACCCAGUGUGAUUCGUCACACUAUCAUUAACUGAAUCCAUAGGUUAAUGAGGCGAACCGGGGGAACUGAAACAUCUAAGUACCCCGAGGAAAAGAAAUCAACCGAGAUUCCCCCAGUAGCGGCGAGCGAACGGGGAGGAGCCCAGAGCCUGAAUCAGCAUGUGUGUUAGUGGAAGCGUCUGGAAAGGCGCGCGAUACAGGGUGACAGCCCCGUACACAAAAGCGCAUGUGCUGUGAGCUCGAUGAGUAGGGCGGGACACGUGGUAUCCUGUCUGAAUAUGGGGGGACCAUCCUCCAAGGCUAAAUACUCCUGACUGACCGAUAGUGAACCAGUACCGUGAGGGAAAGGCGAAAAGAACCCCGGCGAGGGGAGUGAAAAAGAACCUGAAACCGUGUACGUACAAGCAGUGGGAGCACAGGUUUACCUGUGUGACUGCGUACCUUUUGUAUAAUGGGUCAGCGACUUAUAUUCUGUAGCAAGGUUAACCGAAUAGGGGAGCCGGAGGGAAACCGAGUCUUAAUUGGGCGUUAAGUUGCAGGGUAUAGACCCGAAACCCGGUGAUCUAGCCAUGGGCAGGUUGAAGGUUGGGUAACACUAACUGGAGGACCGAACCGACUAAUGUUGAAAAAUUAGCGGAUGACCUGUGGCUGGGGGUGAAAGGCCAAUCAAACCGGGAGAUAGCUGGUUCUCCCCGAAAGCUAUUUAGGUAGCGCCUCGUGAAUUCAUCUCCGGGGGUAGAGCACUGUUUCGGCUAGGGGGCCAUCCCGGCUUACCAACCCGAUGCAAACUGCGAAUACCGGAGAAUGUUAUCACGGGAGACACACGGCGGGUGCUAACGUCCGUCGUGAAGAGGGAAACAACCCAGACCGCCAGCUAAGGUCCCAAAGUCAUGGUUAAGUGGGAAACGAUGUGGGAAGGCCCAGACAGCCAGGAUGUUGGCUUAGAAGCAGCCAUCAUUUAAAGAAAGCGUAAUAGCUCACUGGUCGAGUCGGCCUGCGCGGAAGAUGUAACGGGGCUAAACCAUGCACCGAAGCUGCGGCAGCGACGCUUAUGCGUUGUUGGGUAGGGGAGCGUUCUGUAAGCCUGCGAAGGUGGCCUGUGAGGGUUGCUGGAGGUAUCAGAAGUGCGAAUGCUGACAUAAGUAACGAUAAAGCGGGUGAAAAGCCCGCUCGCCGGAAGACCAAGGGUUCCUGUCCAACGUUAAUCGGGGCAGGGUGAGUCGACCCCUAAGGCGAGGCCGAAAGGCGUAGUCGAUGGGAAACGGGUUAAUAUUCCCGUACUUGGUGUUACUGCGAAGGGGGGACGGAGAAGGCUAUGUUGGCCGGGCGACGGUUGUCCCGGUUUAAGCGUGUAGGUGUGUGUUCCAGGUAAAUCCGGUUCACUUUAACACUGAGGCGUGACGACGAGGCACUACGGUGCUGAAGCAACAAAUGCCCUGCUUCCAGGAAAAGCCUCUAAGCAUCAGGUAACAUCAAAUCGUACCCCAAACCGACACAGGUGGUCAGGUAGAGAAUACCAAGGCGCUUGAGAGAACUCGGGUGAAGGAACUAGGCAAAAUGGUGCCGUAACUUCGGGAGAAGGCACGCUGACACGUAGGUGAAGUGAUUUACUCAUGGAGCUGAAGUCAGUCGAAGAUACCAGCUGGCUGCAACUGUUUAUUAAAAACACAGCACUGUGCAAACACGAAAGUGGACGUAUACGGUGUGACGCCUGCCCGGUGCCGGAAGGUUAAUUGAUGGGGUCAGCGCAAGCGAAGCUCCUGAUCGAAGCCCCGGUAAACGGCGGCCGUAACUAUAACGGUCCUAAGGUAGCGAAAUUCCUUGUCGGGUAAGUUCCGACCUGCACGAAUGGCGUAAUGAUGGCCAGGCUGUCUCCACCCGAGACUCAGUGAAAUUGAACUCGCUGUGAAGAUGCAGUGUACCCGCGGCAAGACGGAAAGACCCCGUGAACCUUUACUAUAGCUUGACACUGAACAUUGAGCCCUUGAUGUGUAGGAUAGGUGGGAGGCUUUGAAGUGUGGACGCCAGUCUGCAUGGAGCCGACCUUGAAAUACCACCCUUUAAUGUUUGAUGUUCUAACGUGGACCCGUUACCCGGGUUGCGGACAGUGUCUGGUGGGUAGUUUGACUGGGGCGGUCUCCUCCUAAAGAGUAACGGAGGAGCACGAAGGUUGGCUAAUCCUGGUCGGACAUCAGGAGGUUAGUGCAAUGGCAUAAGCCAGCUUGACUGCGAGCGUGACGGCGCGAGCAGGUGCGAAAGCAGGUCAUAGUGAUCCGGUGGUUCUGAAUGGAAGGGCCAUCGCUCAACGGAUAAAAGGUACUCCGGGGAUAACAGGCUGAUACCGCCCAAGAGUUCAUAUCGACGGCGGUGUUUGGCACCUCGAUGUCGGCUCAUCACAUCCUGGGGCUGAAGUAGGUCCCAAGGGUAUGGCUGUUCGCCAUUUAAAGUGGUACGCGAGCUGGGUUUAGAACGUCGUGAGACAGUUCGGUCCCUAUCUGCCGUGGGCGCUGGAGAACUGAGGGGGGCUGCUCCUAGUACGAGAGGACCGGAGUGGACGCAUCACUGGUGUUCGGGUUGUCAUGCCAAUGGCACUGCCCGGUAGCUAAAUGCGGAAGAGAUAAGUGCUGAAAGCAUCUAAGCACGAAACUUGCCCCGAGAUGAGUUCUCCCUGAGACUUAAAGUCUCCUGAAGGAACGUUGAAGACGACGACGUUGAUAGGCCGGGUGUGUAAGCGCAGCGAUGCGUUGAGCUAACCGGUACUAAUGAACCGUGAGGCUUAACCUUACAACGCCGAAG
RNAcentral lists this ribosomal RNA (2930 nucleotides) under Salmonella enterica subsp. enterica serovar Enteritidis. RNAcentral describes it as "bacterial LSU rRNA". It matches the Rfam family "Bacterial large subunit ribosomal RNA". The record is from RNAcentral. Lineage: Bacteria; Pseudomonadati; Pseudomonadota; Gammaproteobacteria; Enterobacterales; Enterobacteriaceae.